UACGUAGGGGCCAAGCGUUGUCCGGAAUUAUUGGGCGUAAAGAGCUCGUAGGCGGUUUGUCGCGUCGGAUGUGAAAGCCCGGGGCUUAACCCCGGGUCUGCAUUCGAUACGGGCAGACUGGAGUGUGGUAGGGGAGAUCGGAAUUCCUGGUGUAGCGGUGAAAUGCGCAGAUAUCAGGAGGAACACCGAUGGCGAAGGCAGGUCUCUGGGCCACUACUGACGCUGAGGCGCGAAAGCGUGGGUAGCAAACAGG
Molecule: ribosomal RNA, 253 nt
Filed under: uncultured bacterium
Lineage: Bacteria
Description: partial 16S ribosomal RNA
Rfam family: Bacterial small subunit ribosomal RNA
Source: RNAcentral